This 245-nucleotide long non-coding RNA is filed under the name Erythranthe guttata (spotted monkey flower). RNAcentral's name for it is "long non-coding RNA (EGUT_LNC002257)". The record is from RNAcentral. Lineage: Eukaryota; Viridiplantae; Streptophyta; Magnoliopsida; Lamiales; Phrymaceae.
CAAUUCUCAUUCGUCCUCGUCCAAGACUCACCAGCCGCAGCCACGCGCCCACCGGAACUAGCCCAACAACCGAAAUCCCUCUCAGAUCUCGAACCGAAAAAACCCGAAAAACCCCAACUCACAAAGGACCAAGAGUUCGAAUAAAUCAAACACACACUGCACUCAACCCAACACCCAAACACUCACAAAGAGUCGGGACUCACAAAGAGUCGAAUCAGUCACGAAGAAAAGAUUUUGGAACAAGG